CACGUAGGGUGCGAGCGUUGUCCGGAAUUAUUGGGCGUAAAGAGCUCGUAGGCGGUGUGUCGCGUCGGCCGUGAAAACCUGCAGCUUAACUGUGGGCGUGCAGCCGAUACGGGCAGGCUAGAGUUCGGUAGGGGAGACUGGAAUUCCUGGUGUAGCGGUGAAAUGCGCAGAUAUCAGGAGGAACACCGGUGGCGAAGGCGGGUCUCUGGGCCGAUACUGACGCUGAGGAGCGAAAGCGUGGGGAGCGAACAGG
This 253-nucleotide ribosomal RNA is filed under the name uncultured bacterium. RNAcentral describes it as "partial 16S ribosomal RNA". It matches the Rfam family "Bacterial small subunit ribosomal RNA", at positions 524 to 776 of the family's 1533-position model. The record is from RNAcentral.